AAGGAUUGUGGAAGUGUGUACCUUCUAAAGCUGCACCUCUUCUGCUUUGUGUCCUACAUCCUACGUAUCCAGAAGUCUUCGAGUGGGGAGGAUGGUGUCCCCCACUGUGUGGGGCUAACAUUGGAUUCAUACACAAGCCGAUCGAUCCAUGCUGGACAAAGAACAAGCCCCUGCGUCUCACCGUCAUGGUCACCAUUAAAGGGCUGGAUUUGCUUUCUGUUGUCAAGAUCCUUGAAGGGUUCCACAGAGUGGGUGGGGUCGGAAGAGGAGGAGCAAGGCAGUAGGUGGGCUCUUUCCUCCACCCCAGCCCAUCUCUCCUGUACAUCCUGGUCUUUCUUGAACUGGAAGGUCCUCCUACACCCGUCUGUCAGUGGCACCGUAAGCUGGAUAGAGCAGAUUUGGCCAACCCCAACCAAUUCAUUAUUUACAUUUUGAGUCUGCAGAUGGUCUGAGAUACCUAGAACAGUGAAUUACAGCUGCCUCUAUCUUCCUCAUUUCUAGAGGUAAAUGAUUCUCAAAAUGGAAACUUGGGGAAUUAAAAAAAAUCAUUUAAUUAUUUUACAAUCACUUUUCAUUUUAAGUUCUCUUAUUUGAAGUCUGCCUGGAAAUUCAUGCUUAAAAUGUCCUUGAGGGGCACCUGGGUGGCUCAGCCAGUUAAGCAUCUCUUGAUUUUGGCUCAGGUCAUGAUCUCACAGUUUGUGAGUUCGAGCCCCACAUCGAACUCUGUGCUGACAGUGCAGAGUCUGCUUGGGAUUCUCUCUGUACCUCCCUUUCUGCCACUCCCCUGCUCUCACUCUCAAAAUAAAUAAACCUAAAAAAUUUUUUAAAUGCUCCUU
RNAcentral lists this long non-coding RNA (836 nucleotides) under Felis catus (domestic cat). RNAcentral's name for it is "lncRNA (ENSFCAG00000049855.1)". The record is from RNAcentral. Lineage: Eukaryota; Metazoa; Chordata; Mammalia; Carnivora; Felidae.